GACGAACGCUGGCGGCGUGCUUAACACAUGCAAGUCGAACGGAAAGGCCCUGCUUUUGUGGGGUGCUCGAGUGGCGAACGGGUGAGUAACACGUGAGUAACCUGCCCUUGACUUUGGGAUAACUUCAGGAAACUGGGGCUAAUACCGGAUAGGAGCUCCUGCUGCAUGGUGGGGGUUGGAAAGUUUCGGCGGUUGGGGAUGGACUCGCGGCUUAUCAGCUUGUUGGUGGGGUAGUGGCUUACCAAGGCUUUGACGGGUAGCCGGCCUGAGAGGGUGACCGGCCACAUUGGGACUGAGAUACGGCCCAGACUCCUACGGGAGGCAGCAGUGGGGAAUAUUGCACAAUGGGCGGAAGCCUGAUGCAGCAACGCCGCGUGCGGGAUGACGGCCUUCGGGUUGUAAACCGCUUUCGCCUGUGACGAAGCGUGAGCGACGGUAAUGGGUAAAGAAGCACCGGCUAACUACGUC
RNAcentral lists this ribosomal RNA (468 nucleotides) under uncultured bacterium. RNAcentral's name for it is "partial 16S ribosomal RNA". It matches the Rfam family "Bacterial small subunit ribosomal RNA", at positions 28 to 507 of the family's 1533-position model. The record is from RNAcentral.